This 465-nucleotide ribosomal RNA is filed under the name uncultured Veillonella sp. RNAcentral's name for it is "bacterial SSU rRNA". It matches the Rfam family "Bacterial small subunit ribosomal RNA", at positions 338 to 795 of the family's 1533-position model. Lineage: Bacteria; Bacillati; Bacillota; Negativicutes; Veillonellales; Veillonellaceae. The record is from RNAcentral.
CCUACGUGAGGCAGCAGUGGGGAAUCUUCCGCAAUGGACGAAAGUCUGACGGAGCAACGCCGCGUGAGUGAUGACGGCCUUCGGGUUGUAAAGCUCUGUUAAUCGGGACGAAAGGCCUUCUUGCGAAUAGUUAGAAGGAUUGACGGUACCGGAAUAGAAAGCCACGGCUAACUACGUGCCAGCAGCCGCGGUAAUACGUAGGUGGCAAGCGUUGUCCGGAAUUAUUGGGCGUAAAGCGCGCGCAGGCGGAUUGGUCAGUCUGUCUUAAAAGUUCGGGGCUUAACCCCGUGAUGGGAUGGAAACUGCCAAUCUAGAGUAUCGGAGAGGAGAGUGGAAUUCCUAGUGUAGCGGUGAAAUGCGUAGAUAUUAGGAAGAACACCAGUGGCGAAGGCGACUUUCUGGACGAAAACUGACGCUGAGGCGCGAAAGCCAGGGGAGCGAACGGGAUUAGAUACCCCAGUAGUC